Molecule: ribosomal RNA, 265 nt
Filed under: uncultured bacterium
Lineage: Bacteria
Description: partial 16S ribosomal RNA
Rfam family: Bacterial small subunit ribosomal RNA
Source: RNAcentral
AAGCUGGGCCACGCCCUUCGGGGUGGAACUUGCACAGGUGCUGCAUGGCCGUCUAAAGCUCGUGUCGUGAGAUGUCGGGUUAAGUCCCUUAACGAGCGAAACCCUUGUCACUAGUUGCCAGCGAGUAAUGUCGGGGACUCUAGUGAGACUGCCGGCGUUAAGCCGGAGGAAGGUGGGGAUGACGUCAAGUCCUCAUGGCCCUUAUGACUAGGGCUGCACACGUCCUACAAUGGCACGCACAAAGGGAUGCUAACUCGCGAGAGCA